Molecule: long non-coding RNA, 1438 nt
Organism: Photinus pyralis (common eastern firefly)
Lineage: Eukaryota; Metazoa; Arthropoda; Insecta; Coleoptera; Lampyridae
Exons: 3
Source: RefSeq, a predicted model, not a curated record
GUGUUGGAAUAGUUUGACGAGCUACUGACUUUAUAGAACUGAUCUGCAAUUAUGUUAGUUAUGUCUUGCAGUUUAUUGAUAUAGCUCCGACUUUCUUCCAGACAUCAUUACUGGUAGUCUCUGGUGUCAUGGUUGUUACAUAAUGUUGCCAUGAAAUUCUUUGGGCUUCUAGUAUUCCCCUACGACACUGAGAUCUUCGUUUUUUGAACUCUACAAGAUUCUCCAACGUAGGAUUUCGACGAAAUUUAUUUAGAGCUUUUUUCUUUAAUGCUAUUUUUUCUUUGAUUUCAGGUGACCACCACGGGACCAUCUUUCGCCUAUUGCCAGGUUUAGAUUUAGAUAUGCUGGCGUCAGCGGCGUUUAUGAUGGAAGAGGUAAUGGUUUUAACAUUUAGAUUGUCUUGAUUAGGAGGGACGAGGACUUGUGUGAAGAGUUCCCAAUUUGCUAAUUGGAUUUUAUAUUUAGCUAUCGUUUUUAUUGGAAGAUUGUGACCCCUGACUGUGAUAAUAAUGGGAAAAUGGUCACUAUGAUGUAGAUCAUCUUCCACCUCCCAUUUCAGGCUAGUAUGUAUACCUGGUGAACAUACUGAUACAUCGAUGGAGUCAAAUGUGCCUGAUCCUGCAUUGAAAAAUGUAGCGGAGCCAUCAUUUACAUCAUUUGAUCUGGAGCCCCAAACGGUGUUGUGGGAAUUAAAAUCCCCAACAAGAAUAAAUGGUGGUGGAAGCUGCCCAAUAAUUUUUCGAAUUUCUUCGACAUCAUAAUUUGUAUUGGGAGUGUAAAUAUUACAAAGUGUACACGAUCUACUAAUUUCAAGUUUAACGGCUACAGCCUGGUAAGUUGUAUGUAAUUUAACUUGUUUAUAAGGUGUUCCUUUGUGAAUGAGAAAUGCUACUCCUCCACAGGCUCUUGCAGGUGAGUAGAAAUCCUUUCUAAUUAAACUGAAAUUUUUAACAUUGUACUUUGUUCCAGGUUUUAAAUGUGUUUCCUGAAUGGCAACACACAAUGGUGUGUGCCUUUGUAUAAGUAGUUUUAGUUCAUUUAAGUUGUUGGAUAGUCCUCUACAAUUCCAUUGUAUAAUUUUUGUACCCCUUUCGAAGAUUUUUGUAUAUAAAGACAAUCACGGUGAGAUAAAUAACAUAAAUAAAUAACAAAUAACAAUGUAUAUGGGACUAUUACAAAUAAAAUGAACAGAUAACUAGGAUAUCACAGAUUGUAUCACAAAUUAAUUGGUACAAGACCCUCUUGGCCCCGAAUUGCGGGGUUUCCUGGGUUUGCCUUUCGGCCACCCUUUCCUCUUCCUCUGUUGCUUUGCCUCAGUAACUUUAUCAUCAUCUACGGAUGUGACACUCGAUUCCCUAGAUCGAGACAAAGCGGGAGACGUCUUACGUUUAGACCCCCGCGUCUCUGCGUCCAUACCCUCUACCUCUGACGCCGUAGU